This 977-nucleotide long non-coding RNA is filed under the name Struthio camelus australis. RNAcentral's name for it is "lncRNA (ENSSCUG00000009779.1)". Lineage: Eukaryota; Metazoa; Chordata; Aves; Struthioniformes; Struthionidae. The record is from RNAcentral.
CGCUGGCCCCUUUCCCCUUUCCGCCUCUAGCUUUGCCGGCUGCGCCGGACGGCGCUCGCUCCCGCUCCCGCUCCUGCUCCUGCCUCCGCGGCCGCCUCCGCCGGCCCCGAGCUAGCUCCUCUCCCGGCUACAGUUUUCUAGAUCGAGUCUUUUUGUUUGCUAUGCCUUAGCUGAAAAUACUCUGGUUUUUUGGGUGUUUUUUUUUUUGCUCAUUUUUUUCCUUUCGGUCCGGCACAUCGAGCUCGUUUAAGAGCUUGACAAAUUUUCCUCCUGCCUUUCCUACUAGCUUUGUAACCAGGGCGCAAGCGACCCAAUGCCUGUAUGGGCAUUUUAUUUAGAUAUAUAUGUAUAUAUCUAGCAUAUAUAUAAUUAUCUUUCUUCCUCUUUAGACCUCUGAACUCCCCUUCUCUCUUCUUCGCUCCUCUUCUAAGUUGCCUUCUGCCUUCUAACGUUACAAGAAACCUUCUCUCUUCUAAGUAGCCUCUUUUGCCAAGAAAAUCUUCCCAACCUUCGGUGUUUUUCCUACCUUCUGGAAGGCUCCUACACGUUUUCCUUCAUAAAAACCCCCUCAACUCGCCUUCGAUUUUUAAGUUAUAACCUCGGGUUUUCCUCUCUUCGGCUUUUCGCUGCAUGAAGCAGGCUCUCCGCCCGUCGGCGCUUUGGAACCGGCCGAAAACCGGGUUAAUUUUGCGCUUCCUCAUCCCGAACUGGCAUGAAGCCGAGUCCGGGACCAAAAUCGCUCUUCACGCUCCUUUUUUGCUUCUCUUCUCUUCUCUCUUCCAAUUUCCUCGCCUUUGCUUUUUUUUUUUUUUUUUUGGUUUAACUCUUCAGUUUAAAAAUCUUCAGAUUUCCUCCGCUAAAAGCAUUUAAUCGCUUUUUUUUUAAUUUUUUUUUUUUAACGAACCCUAGUUAGAUCUAAUUUUUUUUUUUAAGGUUUCAAUCUGUAAUUAAUAUUUUUUAGGUUUUUUUUUUGGCUG